AGCUUUGCGGGGUCGGCAGUCAGCCUGUGUCUGGAAGGAGCAGCUGUGCAAACCCAUGCAAAGCUGA
This 67-nucleotide microRNA precursor is filed under the name Tetraodon nigroviridis (spotted green pufferfish). RNAcentral describes it as "Tni-Mir-19-P2d_pre stem-loop". Lineage: Eukaryota; Metazoa; Chordata; Actinopteri; Tetraodontiformes; Tetraodontidae. The record is from RNAcentral.